This 844-nucleotide ribosomal RNA is filed under the name Stenotrophomonas maltophilia. Its description in RNAcentral is "bacterial SSU rRNA". It matches the Rfam family "Bacterial small subunit ribosomal RNA", at positions 46 to 873 of the family's 1533-position model. Lineage: Bacteria; Pseudomonadati; Pseudomonadota; Gammaproteobacteria; Lysobacterales; Lysobacteraceae. The record is from RNAcentral.
UCCCUAGCCAUGCAGAUUGACGGAUGAGUGGAGAGCUUGCUCUUCGGGUGGCGGGGAAGGGACGGGUGAGGAAUACAUCGGAAUCUACUUUUUCGUGGUUUUCCACGUACGGAAACGUACGCUAAUACCGCAUACGACCUACGGGUGAAAGCAGGGGAUCUUCGGACCUUGCGCGAUUGAAUGAGCCGAUGUCGGAUUAGCUAGUUGGCGGGGUAAAGGCCCACCAAGGCGACGAUCCGUAGCUGGUCUGAGGAGGAUGAUCAGCCACACUGGAACUGAGACACGGUCCAGACUCCUACGGGAGGCUGUAGUGGGGAAUAUUGGACAAUGGGAGCAAGCCUGAUCCAGCCAUACGGCGUGGGUGAAGAAGGCCUUCGGGUUGUAAAGCCCUUUUGUUGGGAAAGAAAUCCAGCUGGGUGAUACCCGGUUGGGAUGACGGUACCCAAAGAAUAAGCACCGGCUAACUUCGUGCCAGCAGCCGCGGUAAUACGAAGGGUGCAAGCGUUACUCGCAAUUUCUGGGCGUAAAGCGUGCGUAGGCCGGCGUUUAAGUCUGUUGUGAAAGACCUGGGCUCAACCUGGGAACUGCAGUGGAUACUGGGCGAAUAGAGUGUUGUAGAGGGUAGCGGAAUUCCUGGUGUAGCAGUGAAAUGCGUAGUAGAUCAGGAGGAACAUGCCAUGGCGAAGGCAGCUACCUGGACCAACACUGACACUGAGGCACGAAAGCGUGUGGAGCAAACGGUGAUAAGAUACCCUGGUAGUCCACGCCCUAAACGAUGCGAAUCCGUCGNUUGGUGCAGGAUGGCACGCAGUAUCAAUGCCAACGCGUAUUUACGCCGCAUCGA